Molecule: long non-coding RNA, 742 nt
Organism: Entelurus aequoreus (snake pipefish)
Lineage: Eukaryota; Metazoa; Chordata; Actinopteri; Syngnathiformes; Syngnathidae
Exons: 3
Source: RefSeq, a predicted model, not a curated record
GUUUGGAGAGAGACUGAAAAGUCCUGGAGAGACCGUAUCACUGAUGAGUGUGUUGAAAAACAUUAAAUCUGUUGUACAACUCUGUACGCUUGGCUACUUUGACGUGCGUAUUCGUGGAACCGCAAGACAGCGACUUCUACAACGUGCAUCACCUCGCCAACAGAGUUGGAGAGAGCCUGAACAAUCUUCUCAUGUGCUGUGGCCACCACACUCUGCCCGUUGAUCUCGAUGAUCCGGUGGCCAACCCGGACCCCUCCUCGCUCAGCGAUGCCCCCCCGCAUAAGACUGCAUAUCUGGGAGGAACACAAAAAAGGUGGCGAGCGGCAGCCCUACGAGGCUGGUGUUGUUGAUGGACAUGAUCUGAUCGCCGAUGCUCAACUUGCCCGAGCGUGCCGCUGGGGCGCCGUUCAUCAUGUUGGCUAAGAUGACCGUGGGGAGGAUGGAACCCCAACCUGACUCCACGAUCACGACGCCCAGGAUCUCGCCUUUACUCUUCUCCAGCUGCAGCUGUGGACGACAGCAGAGGAGAGGUCAGGUCUUACUGCCUGUAACAACACACCUAAUUAGUCUUUUGAUAGACUAAUUAGUCUCCUGAUGAGCCCUAAGCCCCAUUCAGACUAGACAUCAGCAACUAUAAUUAGUAGUAGUGUGUAAUAUACUGUGGAACGCAUUUAUAUCAAUUCCCCUUGGAUUGGCUUGAAGUAAGCGGCUGUCGCCAUAAACAUAAACACUGGGCAGUAAA